Molecule: long non-coding RNA, 421 nt
Organism: Suricata suricatta (meerkat)
Lineage: Eukaryota; Metazoa; Chordata; Mammalia; Carnivora; Herpestidae
Exons: 3
Source: RefSeq, a predicted model, not a curated record
AAAACUUAUAUCUCAGUACAUGGUGAAAAGGAUGACUUUGUUAAGAUUUCUACAAAGCUUCCAGCUGAACUUCCCUGCAAUCAAAUACACUAAAGUGAAUCCCUACAUAGAUGAAAUCAAUUCAUGAAACCUUUCCUAAUCCAGCUGUUGGAACUGGAUGCCUCCCUUCUCUCUGCUCCCUGGUCAGCCUGAGAUUGCUUCUGAAGUGGAAAGAAUUGAAUAAACCCAAGAUUCCUUUCUGGGAACUGGGCACUUGUCAUCAAAGAGUGGAGUGUCUUUGGAGAAGCUGGUGGCACCAGGAUUUGAGGUCUGGAGAGGCAUGACUGUGCUAAGGUACCACUCUGUCCCUUAGAAGACAUGGACACAAGACAUGAAUAUUAUUGAAUUGAUGACUGCAUCUAUUAAAAAUAUUGUGAUCACC